AUGUACCUGAAGAGACCCAAACUGAUGGGUCGAAACAUAUGUCGUACCU
Molecule: non-coding RNA, 49 nt
Organism: Octopus bimaculoides (California two-spot octopus)
Lineage: Eukaryota; Metazoa; Mollusca; Cephalopoda; Octopoda; Octopodidae
Source: Rfam